Homo sapiens (human) is the source of this 3847-nucleotide long non-coding RNA. RefSeq lists it as uncharacterized. The record is from RefSeq and is a predicted model, not a curated record. Lineage: Eukaryota; Metazoa; Chordata; Mammalia; Primates; Hominidae. The transcript is spliced from 3 exons.
GUGCAGGUGGGAAGGUACCUGCUGGCCCGGCACUCACCUUUGUUGUUGCAUGCAAUCCACUUCAUGCGGUCAGCAAAAGACACUUCUCUCCCAAUGAGGUGCCAUGGGAAUAAGCAAAAAGGGCCACAGAAACAGUCUACAGAGACAACCGCCCACCAUCCAGACAAGAGCAGGGGCUUGGAAGUCUCAGGCCACCGUGGACACUCACCUCUCGAUUGUCUCGGUCCGCCUGGACGAGGAUCCCUUUAAAACAAGGCUCGAUGUAAUGGACGUAGUCAUUGUACUGCAGUUGCAGGUGUCCAAGAUGGUGGUGAUGGUGUGCUUGGCAAUAGUCAUCCUCAGCCCCUUCAUACUGCCGCUCACGUCCACCAAAAUCACUAUGUCCUUGGGAGAAGUAGCAGCUUGAAUGUACCUGAAGGAAGAAAGGGACAUGCCCAAGAUGGGAAAACCAAAGCCGGAACCAAUACCUGACCAAGGGGUCUGCAGUUAUUUCUGUUCAGAUGCUGGCUCGAGCCCACCCAAAGUUCAGGGCAACCCAUCUAUGCCAGGUUUCACAUGUUCCAUAACCACUUGACACAGUGCUGAAGCCAUCUGGGGUGGCAGUGGUUGGGGAUGUGCCACCUAACAGGCCAGGUCAAGCCCUGGAGGUAACGCUUGUUCCUUUUGAUUUAGACCAACCGGGGUCCCUGAGGGGCUGGCAGCAGAAAGGGAGAGAGCUGGGCUUCAGAUUCUGUUACCAACUUGCCACAAAAGGGGUGUGGAAGGAGAGGAGAGCCUAACAAAAGGUUGACGUGGAGACAGCUCAGUGUCCUGGCAGGAGGUUUAGGUUGGGAAAGACAAACAUGAUCAGUCCUGGAGCAAGGCAAUUGUAGAGGGAAGGGAGGAAUGCUGGCCCUCUUCCUGCUCUUGUGUCGGGCUAGGGUUCUACACACCCAAGGCCCUUGAGUGGCGGUGGGGGAAGGGGCGGAAGUGGAGGAGGAUGAGGCAAAACCCAAAAGCUAUGAGAUAAAUACCCGGGCCGCAAACCUUUCCCCUGUGAGCUCUUACCAGCCGCGGUUUCGGCAGUCAAAAGUAAUGACUCCAUUCUCAUCAGGUGUCCAUUUUAUACCUGGGAGAAUAAAGACUCGUUCUUUUACUAGCUUGGUGAGGCCACCCCAGAUCCCCUGGCUGGGUGUGGACCCCCAAGAUGGCCAUGAUCCCCAGGGCAGAACAGCUUUGGAGCUAGGGAACAGGGUGGGGAACACUGGGACAUGCCCUGUAGACUGAGACAAGCUGGCAAGGAGACAUCUACCAGCCAAACUGCCCAGAUGCAGAGCUGGGGGUAAUUUCACAGGUAGGACCACAUAGGUGGUGCCUGGGACUCAUUUGUGAGGCAAAACCUCAUAUCAAAUAGUGGAGGGGGAAGCUUUGGAGAAGUGUGACUUUUAACAUCCAUUACCAUCCAGCAAAGUGUGGACAAAAUGUUGAAAAAGGCAAGUGCUCUGACUUCUAACACACUUGCCUCUAGGUGUUAAGCUCAUUAGCACUCAGGAUCCUUCCUGUUGGCUGGGAUGGGAGAAAUGAUUUGGCUCUAUGACUGUAGGCUCUUUGAGGUCAGGGAUUCCUAGAACCCAGCAGAGUAUAUGCUUAAUAAAUGUCUGUUACUUGAAUGAAAGGACAAAUGAAUGGAUAUGAAAGAUCUUGCGUUGACCCAGUAGCAGAAUGCUGGUGUAGAUUUUUAUCCUAUCCACCUAAUAAAAAAAUUUGUAUAGAUGCACAGAAAACACUGACAUGAUCCACAAUAGAAUCUCGAUUUGAAAAGACUUUAUGAUUGGGAAUAGUGGGUUUAAAAGAAGAAGAGUAAAAAUAACAGGUGGAAUUGCAAUAUGUUGUGAUUGGGAUAGACAAAAUGAUUGUAGCAGUAUUAUGAAUGUCUAGAAGCUCCAAGGGCCCUUCCUCCUCCACAGUGGUUAGACUUCAGAUGACAUACACCCUUUGAGGCAUUGCUGGCAUCUCAAAGGUAGGAGAGGUUGUCAGAGACCAUGAUCUCAAAACCAAACAAAUGAGAACAGAGCCCCAGGCGUGAGGCAUAUGUGUGAGGUCAGCUAGCACCCAAAGCCUUGAAGGUGGGAAGCAGAGCCAUGGGAGUGUGGUGUGAUGGGAGCUUGAGUACCACUGGUCUGACCUAGUCUUGCAGGCAGUCAUGGGAGGUAGGGCUUUCCUGAGGCCACAUUCUUACAGCAACAUGGUCAUGGGGAAUUUGAUCCUUAGAACAGCAAUGAGGAGGAGAAGCUGAGUCUGAGAUUACUGGCUCUUAACCAAAAUCUUCGAAGAGGACUUUGGAGGUCCUGGAUGAGGGUACCCUCAAGUCCAAGCGGAAACAGAAGCGAAUUUUCUUGUGGAUUCCCAACUCAGACCCACUGGACUCUGAAGAGGACAAGCAGCAUGGCCUCACAAGCAAAGAUUCCCAAAUACAUAAGGAGCAGACCCCUAUUAGUGGGAGGCAGCAGACUCAAGAGCUACCUCAAGAGCUGGAUAUAGCUUCUCAAGAAUUACAGAUGUUGGAAUGGCCAAAUACCAAACACAAACUAGGUAGGUAUGAGAAGAACACAUAAUACAAAGAACAUACAAGAAAUGACCAGGAAUGAAGAAACAGCCUUGCAAAUAUGAAGCUUUCGGAGAUGAAAAAAUGUAUAGGUUGAAAAAAAUAAAUUAAAUGGAUAGUGCUUUAUUCAUGGGUAAAAAGAAAAUGCAUACAUUUGUGGAUGUAUCCAGAGUUCUACUGAGGCUGGAAUGAGAAGGUUUAAUACACAUCUGAUUGGAGUCACAGAAAGAGAAAAGGGAGAGCAUGGAGGAAAGGUGAUGGUUGAAGAGAUGAUACUGGCAAAUAUUCUAGAACUGAUUAAAAAUCCAAUUCCACAGAUCUAGGAAGCACAGCGUAUCCCAAACAGCAUGAAUAAAAAGAUAUCCACAUAUAGACACAUAGUAUUGGAACUGCAGAACUUCGAAGGCAAAUAAAUAAAUAAACAAAUACCACGAAGGCAGCCAGAAAGCCCACGACACCUACAAAGGAAGAGCAGUUAAACUGGUAGAUUUUCCCAACAUCAAUGAAAGCCAGAAGACAGUGGAUAAACAGUUUUAAGAUGUUGAGAGAAUAGAAUUAUUGAUUUAGAAUUGCAUUGUCAGCAAAACUAUCAUUCAAGAAUGAGGAUAAAAGGAAACAUUUGUAGAUAAACACAAUCUAAAGCAGUUUAUACUGAAGUCCCCACUGUAAAGGAACUUCUGGAGGACUUACUUUAAGAAGAAGGGGAAUGAUAUGGGAAAAACAUCCUCACAUGCAUGAGGGAAUGGUGAACAAAUAAAAUGGUAAAUAAGUCAUUAAUUCCAAGUAAGUGAUGUUUAUAUCAAAUAACAAUACUUGUGUGUCUGAUUUGUGGGGAUGAAAAAUUUGAAAUAUUGACAAUAGAAUGGAAGUCUAGAAUAAAGAGAUGGAAGCACAAAAGUUCUAAAGGCCUUUGUUGACUGAGUAGAGAGCAAAAAUAUUAUUUAAUUUUAAUUUUUUAUUUUUAGAGAUGGGAUCCUGCUAUAUUGCCCAGGAUGGUCCUGAACUCCUGGGCAAGGGAACCUCCUGCCUCAGCCGCCCCCCCCAGUAGCUGGAACUAUAGGUACAAACCAAGUUCCCAGCUUAAUUUUAAAAUGUUAUUGUAUUAAAUAUGCCUGAUAAGACUUCAGGGGUAAUAACUGAAAGAAUAAAAACAAGGGGACAAGUUCUAAAGUGCUAGAGAGAAAAAAAGUUAUAUUGGGGAAAUUUAUUUUUUAAAUGUUAAGUAUUUAAAAAGGAAAAAAGGAGAAAAAGAAAAUAUAAAAA